GACGAACGCUGGCGGCGUGCUUAACACAUGCAAGUCGAACGGAAAGGCCCUGCUUUUGUGGGGUGCUCGAGUGGCGAACGGGUGAGUAACACGUGAGUAACCUGCCCUUGACUUUGGGAUAACUUCAGGAGACUGGGGCUAAUACCGGAUAGGAGCUCCUGCUGCAUGGUGGGGGUUGGAAAGUUUCGGCGGUUGGGGAUGGACUCGCGGCUUAUCAGCUUGUUGGUGGGGUAGUGGCUUACCAAGUCUUUGACGGGUAGCCGGCCUGAGAGGGUGACCGGCCACAUUGGGACUGAGAUACGGCCCAGACUCCUACGGUAGGCAGCAGUGGGGAAUAUUGCACAAUGGGCGGAAGCCUGAUGCAGCAACGCCGCGUGCGGGAUGACGGCCUUCUGGUUGUAAACCGCUUUCGCCUGUGACGAAGCGUGAGUGACGGUAAUGGGUAAAGAAGCACCGGCUAACUACGUG
Molecule: ribosomal RNA, 468 nt
Filed under: uncultured bacterium
Lineage: Bacteria
Description: partial 16S ribosomal RNA
Rfam family: Bacterial small subunit ribosomal RNA
Source: RNAcentral